CCUACGGGUGGCUGCAGUAGGGAAUAUUGGACAAUGGGCGCAAGCCUGAUCCAGCAAUGCCGCGUGAGUGACGAAGGAUUUCGGUCUGUAAAGCUCUUUUCUGAGGGAAGAACAGGUGGAAGAGGAAAUGCUUCCAUUUUGACGGUACCUCAGGAAUAAGGGACGGCUAACUCCGUGCCAGCAGCCGCGGUAAUACGGAGGUCCCAAGCGUUGUUCGGAAUUACUGGGCGUAAAGGGAGCGCAGGCGGAUAGUUAAGUCUAAAGUGGAAUCCCGG
RNAcentral lists this ribosomal RNA (275 nucleotides) under uncultured bacterium. Its description in RNAcentral is "partial 16S ribosomal RNA". It matches the Rfam family "Bacterial small subunit ribosomal RNA", at positions 338 to 605 of the family's 1533-position model. The record is from RNAcentral.